AAGCGUGCGCAGGCGGUUAUAUAAGACAGAUGUGAAAUCCCCGGGCCUCAACCUGGGAACUGCAUUUGUGACUGUAUAGCUGGAGUGCGGCAGAGGGGGAUGGAAUUCCGCGUGUAGCAGUGAAAUGCGUAGAUAUGCGGAGGAACACCGAUGGCGAAGGCAAUCCCCUGGGCCUGCACUGACGCUCAUGCACGAAAGCGUGGGGAGCAAACAGGAUUAGAUACCCUUGU
RNAcentral lists this ribosomal RNA (230 nucleotides) under uncultured bacterium. RNAcentral's name for it is "partial 16S ribosomal RNA". It matches the Rfam family "Bacterial small subunit ribosomal RNA", at positions 563 to 791 of the family's 1533-position model. The record is from RNAcentral.